This 253-nucleotide ribosomal RNA is filed under the name uncultured prokaryote. Its description in RNAcentral is "partial 16S ribosomal RNA". It matches the Rfam family "Bacterial small subunit ribosomal RNA", at positions 524 to 776 of the family's 1533-position model. The record is from RNAcentral.
GACGUAGGAUGCGAGCGUUGUCCGGAUUUAUUGGGCGUAAAGAGUUCGUAGGCGGUUCGUUAAGUCUGAUGUUAAAGACUGGGGCUCAACCCCGGGAGUGCAUUGGAUACUGGCGGACUGGAGUGCGGUAGAGGUUAGUGGAAUUCCUGGUGUAGCGGUGAAAUGCGUAGCUAUCAGGAGGAACACCGGUGGUGUAGACGGCUUUCUGGGACGGUACUGACGCUGAGACGCGAAAGCGUGGGGAGCGAACAGG